This 465-nucleotide ribosomal RNA is filed under the name Vreelandella stevensii. RNAcentral's name for it is "partial 16S ribosomal RNA". It matches the Rfam family "Bacterial small subunit ribosomal RNA", at positions 338 to 795 of the family's 1533-position model. Lineage: Bacteria; Pseudomonadati; Pseudomonadota; Gammaproteobacteria; Oceanospirillales; Halomonadaceae. The record is from RNAcentral.
CCUACGGGGCGCAGCAGUGGGGAAUAUUGGACAAUGGGCGAAAGCCUGAUCCAGCCAUGCCGCGUGUGUGAAGAAGGCCUUCGGGUUGUAAAGCACUUUCAGUGGGGAAGAAAGCCUUGGGGCUAAUACCCUCGAGGAAGGACAUCACCCACAGAAGAAGCACCGGCUAACUCCGUGCCAGCAGCCGCGGUAAUACGGAGGGUGCGAGCGUUAAUCGGAAUUACUGGGCGUAAAGCGCGCGUAGGCGGUCUGAUAAGCCGGUUGUGAAAGCCCCGGGCUCAACCUGGGAACGGCAUCCGGAACUGUCAGGCUAGAGUGCAGGAGAGGAAGGUAGAAUUCCCGGUGUAGCGGUGAAAUGCGUAGAGAUCGGGAGGAAUACCAGUGGCGAAGGCGGUCUUCUGGACUGACACUGACGCUGAGGUGCGAAAGCGUGGGUAGCAAACAGGAUUAGAUACCCGUGUAGUC